This 875-nucleotide long non-coding RNA is filed under the name Rattus norvegicus (Norway rat). RNAcentral describes it as "long non-coding RNA NONRATT029632". Lineage: Eukaryota; Metazoa; Chordata; Mammalia; Rodentia; Muridae. The record is from RNAcentral.
AGGAAGAGGAGGCUGCCAAAUGGGCCCGGGAAGAGGAAGAAGCCCAGCGCCGACUGGAAGAGAACCGGCUGCGCAUGGAGGAGGAGGCAGCCAGACUUAGGCAUGAAGAAGAGGAACGAAAACGGAAGGAACUGGAGCUGCAGAGACAGAAGGAUCUGAUGCGCCAGAGGCAGCAGCAGCAAGAAGCCCUCCGAAGACUGCAGCAGCAACAGCAGCAGCAGCAGCUUGCACAAAUGAAGCUUCCCUCUUCGUCAACGUGGGGACAGCAGUCUAACACCACAACAUGUCAGUCCCAGGCCACACUGUCAUUGGCUGAGAUCCAGAAGCUGGAAGAAGAACGAGAACGCCAGCUUCGAGAAGAGCAAAGGCGUCAGCAGAGGGAAUUGAUGAAAGCUCUCCAGCAGCAGCAGCAGCAGCAGCAACAACAGAAACUCUCAGGUUGGGGGAAUGUCAGCAAACCUGCAGGUACCACCAAGUCUCUACUAGAGAUCCAGCAGGAAGAGGCCAGGCAGAUGCAGAAGCAGCAGCAGCAGCAGCAACAGCAACAGCAACACCAGCAAUCAAACAGAGCCCGGAACAGCACACAUUCCAACCUGCACACCAGCAUUGGGAAUUCUGUAUGGGGCUCUAUAAACACAGGUCCUCCUAACCAGUGGGCGUCUGAUCUAGUCAGUAGUAUCUGGAGUAAUGCAGACACCAAAAACUCCAACAUGGGGUUUUGGGAUGAUGCAGUGAAAGAGGUGGGACCUAGAAAUUCAACAAAUAAAAAUAAAAACAACGCCAGUCUCAGUAAAUCUGUAGGUGUGUCUAACCGGCAGAAUAAGAAAGUAGAAGAAGAAGAAAAGUUGCUGAAGCUCUUUCAGGGAGUAAAUAAA